UUGCUUCAGCAGCACAUAUACUAAAACUGGAAUGAUAUGGAGAAGAUUAGCAUGGUCCCUGAGCAAGGAUGAUAAGCAAAUUUGUGAAGUGUUCCAUAUUUUU
Molecule: small nuclear RNA, 103 nt
Organism: Callithrix jacchus (white-tufted-ear marmoset)
Lineage: Eukaryota; Metazoa; Chordata; Mammalia; Primates; Cebidae
Source: Ensembl